AGGGAUUGUUGCAUGGCCAUUCCCCCCGAGGGGAGAUUUCUUUAUUUCCCUCUCUCUGUCUCACUCUCCCGUAAGCAUACGUGCUCUAUGGCAAAACAUCUUAAAAAAAAAAAAAACACAUAGUAUUUAGGAAUACACUCUCCCUCUGACCACUGUCGAAAAUAGUAAAACACUGAGAGUAAGAUCCCUUAGGCUAGACAGCAGAUUGCAAAGGGCAAAGGACAGUGGAUACUGUGAGACUUCCAAUAAAUACGUGUCUUUAAACAUGUUUUCUAAUAUGUACAUUUUUGCUGAUUCUUAGUAAUGCUAAUGCCUUGUCUAUUAUUUGUUAUAUUUUACUCCUGUUAAGCUGCAAACUGUUAAGCCAAGGGUGGAUGAUGAACAUUUCCAUGUGCUUAGUGCUAACCACACCAUCCUAUGUACAAUUCAUUUUAAUAAAUCCAAGUUAAGGACUUCGAGGAGCGGAUAUAGUAAUUGUUUAUUUUAACCGAUUAUCAUGGACAUAUGCAAAGCUCCACCAGAAAGAGAGCAUGCAGCAAACGUACACACUGUUUAGAGGUGUGGUUCCUUUAUUCUAGAUGUUCCACAAUCUAGCAUUAUUUAACCACAAAAUUCUUCUGUCUUUUGCUCAAUCCAGAUUAUUCUCGAAAACCGUCAAGAACCCCAGCAUCCCUAGCUCUGGGCACAAGACCUCUAUAAAGAGUCCGGUGACAGAUUACGAUGGGUGGAGGGCUGAGAGUCCUCCUGCAUCACUUGCUGUCUCUUCAUGAGAGGGACUUAUCUGCCACUCAUUCUGUCUUUGCCACGAGGCAGUUCAGCAGUUACUAAAAAAAUGUGCUGUUAUACAUUACCUCCAAAUAUUUCUAUUUUAAUUAGACAGUUUAUAAUUUAAAGUGUGAUCAUACAGGUAGAAGCCAGGUAGAAGUUCAUAGCCAAGUAAUUGGGGGUGGGGAGCAGAGUGACAAACUUUAGAGUACUCAGAUGUUAAACAUGUGAAAAAAAAAAGUAAGUUAUCAGAAAUUUGAGUUAUGAGACGUUCAUCGUAGAUUGAAUUCAAUAGUUAUUUCCUGAUAUCUGCUCGUAGAUCAGUUGAGACCAGUUGUUAAAACUUUUCACUGUUGAAGCUUCCGUUGUAGAAUCUAGAGUAUUGGCUCAUGCUUUGCUUAUGUGUCAACAAAGACAGCAUUGUAAAGCUUCCUUUUUAUAUAACUGAUGGCACAGGUAGAAUCACACUGAAGAAAAAUAGUUUGAAGCAUUUCUAAAUAAAAAUGAAAAUUUCCAAUGCAGUUGUAGUUAGAAUGCAAAUAAAAGUGUUUUAAAGCAUUAAAAACAAAAGCAAAGGAGACUAGUAUAUGAAAGGAAAUACUUUAAAUUAAGAAAAGGCAUUAUAUUUUAUUACAUCAUGCAUCAUGCUUUCUGAUAUGUGUACUCUUACUGAAAGUAAGGAGGCAGAACUUAAGUGACGAAAUGAACAUUUGGAGUCUUGUAAAGUUAGGAAAAUUGUAGGCCCUUUUCCAUUUUUGUCCCAGUGGAAGUGGAUGGUUGUAUUCUCAUCUAUUACUAUCCUAAGUACUUUUUACUAUCUUGGGUUCCGUUCAUGUUCCAAUUCGUGGACAUUGUUUUACUCUGAAUUCUUAGAAUUUUUACAUUUUUCAGAGAAGAAAUGCCCCUUUUUAGUUUUUUUUAGAUGUUUAUGUGUUUAUUUCAUGAGAGAGACAGGUGCCAUGGAUAAGGUUUCAUCAUGCCAUAAUCUUUCCCCCAGCCCCCCAGCACCCAAGGUCAUAGGCACUCCUGGGCACAGCCAGAGUGUUCAGGUCAACCUGGGAUCCGAAUGCAGGCCUCCCAUUGGCUCUGGUAUCACGUAGUGGUGCCUUACUGCCUGUGCCACCACAGCUGGGGCCCCUUGUAGAAUUUCAAAAGAUGCCGUAAUAGAUGAAUGGCUGACUUCCCAUUUUAGAGUGCCCAAAGGAAACUGAAUUAGAUAAACAUAGUCACGGCUACAACUGAGAGGGGGUGUUAACUGACUAGUAGUUUCCAAAUGCCAACACGAGUACUAGUGAGUAUUCAAUUGAAAAUAGACAGUUCCACAAAAAUAAACUACAGGGUGAUUCAACAUUCUUGCUUCUUGAAGAGUUGUCUAAGCCAUAUAAAGCAAAGGGUUCUGUUGAUAACAACAAUUUUAAAAAUCCUAUAGAUAUGAUAGAUUCGGCAUCUCUAAGCUAAGAUAAUGUUAUUUCUUGUGUAAGUUUUAAAUUCUGAUCUCUGUAAGGACAAACGGUGACUGCUUAGUGUAAUAAUGAGGAAGUAUAACUCCUGCUGUAUGGAGAAAAGCUAGAACCAUGGAACAUUAAGCAAAAGUUUUUCUUAUUUAGGUUCCAAGACUACAACCAAAUAGUAUGUAUUUACCUUCUUUUUUUAAAAAAUUUUUAAUAUUCUUUCAUAGUGCACAUGUGCUCACUGGAGAGAGAGAGGAAUAUUGAGAGAUCAUCCUUCGGGGUGAUGGACAUGACACAGUUUCUUCUCCUCUAGUCUCUUCUUGGCAUUUUGGGCUCAUAUGAACACUUACCCAGCAUGAUUUUUUGAACUGUUGGAUCCAGGACUCGAACUGUGGUUGGCCCUAUGGGAGUCCAGCACAUCAACCUGCUAGCCCCUGUAUUUUUUCAUCUCAGGUGUAUAUACUGAAAGUAGAAUAAUAGAACAGUGGACAAAACCCAUAACUUUCCCUUCUGUUCUAGAAAGCAUUGUUUAUGCUUUUAAAAAUAUACAUGUUCACGUGAAAACAUUCUCAUCUUUCAGUUAUUUUUCAGUUACUAAAGCAAAUGGUUUUGACUUAGAGCACUUACACAACCUCACAUCUGGUUCUAGCAUUCUAUUUAAUGAUGUCUCAACAUCUUCUGGGCAGCCCGGAAAAACAAAUCGAAAACAAAGAAGAAGAAAUUGUAGUAGGUUCAGACAAAUGAUUCCUCUGACAAGCCUGGAAAAUAAUAGUUAAACGGUAACUCCCAAAGGCUCCCAAAGUGAAAGCAAACUGUUUGAAGUGUUCUUUUAAUACAAGCAUAAUCGCAUUUAUAACAGAUUGCCCUGCCUGAUGAACGGGUUUCAGCGGUAAAGUCACUGAUUUUUUUUUUUUGCAUCUGCUUGUAUGUUUUAUUCUCUCUGUUGUUACUUUUUCCUGAGCACUUACCAUGUCCCAGACAGUGACUGGUGAAAUGAAUGGCUCUAAUGGUGGUCUUGAGCACUGUCACUGCCCACUUGGGCAUACAGUCUGCUGGGGCCCUCACCAAUGGGUUGAAAAUUGGCAUCUUCCCUGAUUUCCUUCAGUGGGCUCAGGUUUGUACAGACAGGGCAGAACCACAGUCAUUAUUUUCUCCACAUAAAGGAGAGUGAUUGGUAGGAGGUGAUUGGAAAUGUCUUGCCCACAUCCAAGCUAACUGCAUCUAAUAAUUCCUCCUUUUUACUAGGUCACCCGAGGAUGGAAUGGAGUUGCGAGUCAGUAGAUGUCUCUGGGGACCUGGACGGGGGCCAGGGGAGAGGGAGGGCUUUCACAGUUGGGUGCCAGUGGAAGCCCCCACCUGGGUGAGACAGUGGCUA
This is a long non-coding RNA of Tupaia belangeri chinensis (Chinese tree shrew), 3591 nucleotides long. RefSeq lists it as uncharacterized. Lineage: Eukaryota; Metazoa; Chordata; Mammalia; Scandentia; Tupaiidae. The transcript has 2 exons. The record is from RefSeq and is a predicted model, not a curated record.